UCCAUUGAUUAUUCAUAGGGCUUCUGAUUGGAGCUCAUUAAUGCAGGAUCAAGUGGGAAGUAAAUUUUGUAAGAGCAAACGGAGGAGUGAUGACGGUCCCACUGAGCACGCCAAAGAGUGUUAAUGGAGCAGGCUGGCAGUGUGAGAGCCGAGCUGCAUGAGCAGCGUUCUGGUGUGGAUGAGGGGAAUGAGCUGUAAACUGUUUGACACAGGCGCCACCUUGUGAUUGAUGACAUGCUAUGCUGCAAUGAAGACGUGUGCUAGUUUUAUCACAAGGGUCACAUGGGGUAUUUACAGAAUGGCA
Trichomycterus rosablanca is the source of this 304-nucleotide long non-coding RNA. RefSeq lists it as uncharacterized. Lineage: Eukaryota; Metazoa; Chordata; Actinopteri; Siluriformes; Trichomycteridae. The record is from RefSeq and is a predicted model, not a curated record. The transcript has 3 exons.